AAUUGAAGGCACUGCUGUUUCUCAGGACAGAUUGCCUGAAACUGCGGAGAGAGAGAAUUUGGAGAUGGACAAUAGGGAACAAGACCUUCCAAAUAGGCCAUCUGUGUCAUCAUCACUCAGGGUUGUUUGUUCAAGUGGGCAGUCCAGUGGAAGGAAUGAUGUACAAAGCUCGAACAAACCUGCAGCAAGGAUUAAAACUUCUCAUAUGGAAACAUUGGAGAAUGCUUAUUUUCAAAUAAAGGACAUGGUGGGAUCAGAUUAUUGGAAUAAACUUAUGAGGAAAUGCGGCUUAUCAGACAAUGACAUAGAUAACAUAAAGCAUGAUAAUGCUCUACAUUUUGAUGAACAGCAUCAUCAGAUGUUAAAAACUUUGCGAGACAGGAAUGGAAUUGUUGCAGCUUUUCAUAAAAUAUUUGCUGGACUGGAAGAAAUGAACCUUUAUGGUAUUUAUGAAAAUAUAAUAAAUGAACUAAAACACAAAGAUUUAAUAAUAAAGGAGACCGAAGACUAAUUUAGUUUUUCUUUCUUUCUUUUUGACUAUGCAAAAACGACAGAAAACAGUCUGUCUUUUUAUGCAUCAAUUUAUUUUAGCACAUGUUCCCUCGGCUGAGGAUGUGUAAAUGGACAACACAGUUGUUGAAAGAACUAUGGAUCCUAUUUGGGAAAUGAAAUGCAUAUCUGAGUGGGUAAAUUUUGCAACAUAAAAACUUUACAAUGGAUAAUGCAGGAACCAAUAGGAGCUUGGUCAGUACUUGGAUUCAGGUUUUUGUGAUUCUGUACUGUCCUCUAUAAAAAUGCUAUUGUGACCAAAAUUCAGUGUUCAAUAUUACGUGAACUGCUCACAUAGCAGGCUGAAGUUGGACAUAAUAGUUUUCAACAGAAUCAGAAUCAGGUAAUCUGUUGGGUAAGUGGAAUUUAACUGUGUAAAACUUCUUGAAAUAUAAUCCGCUGGAAUCGGGCUGGAACUGUUCGCAUUUGCUACUAUAGUAUGAAAUGACUGAUGGAUGUAAUAUUUCAUUUGUGAUCUUAUAUACAAAGAGACAACAAAUGUGAACAGUGUCAUACUCUGUACUUUUUGUAUGUAUUUUCUAAUAAAAAAAC
Molecule: long non-coding RNA, 1101 nt
Filed under: Notechis scutatus (mainland tiger snake)
Lineage: Eukaryota; Metazoa; Chordata; Lepidosauria; Squamata; Elapidae
Description: lncRNA (ENSNSUG00000018052.1)
Source: RNAcentral